Molecule: ribosomal RNA, 989 nt
Filed under: Burkholderiaceae bacterium BHJ34a
Lineage: Bacteria; Pseudomonadati; Pseudomonadota; Betaproteobacteria; Burkholderiales; Burkholderiaceae
Description: bacterial SSU rRNA
Rfam family: Bacterial small subunit ribosomal RNA
Source: RNAcentral
CGGAACGUGUCCUGUAGUGGGGGAUAGCCCGGCGAAAGCCGGAUUAAUACCGCAUACGAUCUACGGAUGAAAGCGGGGGAUCUUCGGACCUCGCGCUAUAGGGGCGGCCGAUGGCGGAUUAGCUAGUUGGUGAGGUAAAGGCUCACCAAGGCGACGAUCCGUAGCUGGUCUGAGAGGACGACCAGCCACACUGGGACUGAGACACGGCCCAGACUCCUACGGGAGGCAGCAGUGGGGAAUUUUGGACAAUGGGCGAAAGCCUGAUCCAGCAAUGCCGCGUGUGUGAAGAAGGCCUUCGGGUUGUAAAGCACUUUUGUCCGGAAAGAAAUCCCUGGUCCUAAUAUGGCCGGGGGAUGACGGUACCGGAAGAAUAAGCACCGGCUAACUACGUGCCAGCAGCCGCGGUAAUACGUAGGGUGCAAGCGUUAAUCGGAAUUACUGGGCGUAAAGCGUGCGCAGGCGGUGAUGUAAGACCGAUGUGAAAUCCCCGGGCUCAACCUGGGAACUGCAUUGGUGACUGCAUCGCUUGAGUAUGGCAGAGGGGGGUAGAAUUCCACGUGUAGCAGUGAAAUGCGUAGAGAUGUGGAGGAAUACCGAUGGCGAAGGCAGCCCCCUGGGUCAAUACUGACGCUCAUGCACGAAAGCGUGGGGAGCAAACAGGAUUAGAUACCCUGGUAGUCCACGCCCUAAACGAUGUCAACUGGUUGUCGGGUCUUCAUUGACUUGGUAACGUAGCUAACGCGUGAAGUUGACCGCCUGGGGAGUACGGUCGCAAGAUUAAAACUCAAAGGAAUUGACGGGGACCCGCACAAGCGGUGGAUGAUGUGGAUUAAUUCGAUGCAACGCGAAAAACCUUACCUACCCUUGACAUGUACGGAAUUCCGCUGAAAAGUGGAAGUGCCCGAAAGGGAGCCGUAACACAGGUGCUGCAUGGCUGUCGUCAGCUCGUGUCGGGAAAUGUUGGGUUAAGUCCCGCAACGAGGGCAACC